UACAACUCUUUGUCCAAGAUGACAAGAACCUGGACACCCUCCACCGGUGACAUAUUUUGGUGAGCCAGCCAGGAGGAAAAGUCUUUCAGACGCUGAUUCCUGGUAGCUCAUCGGAAAUUGAGGACAAUUGGCUGGGGUCACUCCCAGGUACUGCAUGAAGGUCUAGGAAUGAAUGCGAAUAAUUGCCCGGCCCAAAAAGGGGAAGGACUUUUUAAAAAAUCUUUUCUGCAUGAUCCCUGAUCCCUACCUGCAGGGCAGCUCAGAGCAAACUCAAACAUGUUUCAGGACAAAGAGAAGUGGAAAACAGGUCUGUUACGUGCACUUAUGGGGUGUACUCUUAUUUGUGAAGAACUUUGCAGCCAGCCUUAUACAUGGAUAAGCUUACACUUUGAUAGAUAAAAGACGAAGGCCCAAUGUAGAGACCAUCGACAUUCAGAUGACCAUGCAACAAAGGUUCCAGCCAGUUCCAGAUGAAGACACCACCCCUGGCCAUCAAGAAGCUAAC
This is a long non-coding RNA of Homo sapiens (human), 505 nucleotides long. RefSeq lists it as uncharacterized. The transcript has 4 exons. NCBI's taxonomy places the organism in Eukaryota, Metazoa, Chordata, Mammalia, Primates, Hominidae. The record is from RefSeq and is a predicted model, not a curated record.